Non-coding RNA from Rhypophila decipiens, 113 nucleotides. NCBI's taxonomy places the organism in Eukaryota, Fungi, Ascomycota, Sordariomycetes, Sordariales, Naviculisporaceae. The record is from the annotation of a GenBank genome assembly.
GCCCGGCUAGCUCAAUCGGUAGAGCGUGAGACUCUUAUUCCAGCCUGAUGGAGACAUCUGCGGAAACAAAGAAUUACAUCUCAAGGUUGUGGGUUCGACCCCCACGUCGGGCU